Molecule: small nuclear RNA, 65 nt
Filed under: Oesophagostomum dentatum (nodular worm)
Lineage: Eukaryota; Metazoa; Nematoda; Chromadorea; Rhabditida; Strongylidae
Description: U4 spliceosomal RNA
Rfam family: U4 spliceosomal RNA
About the family: U4 small nuclear RNA (U4 snRNA) is a component of the major U2-dependent spliceosome. The structure of U4 snRNA from yeast and human has been reported.
Source: Rfam by way of RNAcentral
AGCUUUGCACAGAGGAGAUAACGUGAUCAAUGAGGCUCUGCCGAGGUGCGUUUAUUGCUGGUUGG